UACAUCAGUGGCGGAUCCAGAAAAAAAUUUGGGGGUGGUCCCAAAUGAAUAUUGAAUGGUAUGAAAAAGGUUAAAAAAUACCUUCGACAUUAUGGAAGAUCAUGAAUUUGGACAACACCAUGCAAUGCACAUAUUCCUAGGUAAAGGAAUUUAAAGACAUGUAAAACUGAUUUUUAUUUAAGACUCUAUGCAAUAUCUUGCAAUCUAAAAUAGCACAACA
Molecule: long non-coding RNA, 220 nt
Filed under: Mytilus galloprovincialis (Mediterranean mussel)
Lineage: Eukaryota; Metazoa; Mollusca; Bivalvia; Mytilida; Mytilidae
Source: RNAcentral